CAUUGAAAUACUGGUUCCCAUACAAAUCACUGAAGUUAAGCAACAUUGAGCCUGGUCAGUAUCUAGAUGGGAGAUUGCUUGGAAAUAGCAGGUGCUGUAAG
This is a non-coding RNA of Acanthosepion pharaonis, 101 nucleotides long. The record is from the annotation of a GenBank genome assembly. NCBI's taxonomy places the organism in Eukaryota, Metazoa, Mollusca, Cephalopoda, Sepiida, Sepiidae.